GCUGGGUGUGGUGGCUCACGCCUGUAAUCCUAGCACUUUGGGAGGCUGAGGUGGGCGGAUCACCUGAGGUCAGGAGUUCAAGACCAGCCUGGCCAACAUGGUGAAACCCCUUCUCUA
This 117-nucleotide non-coding RNA is filed under the name Nomascus leucogenys (northern white-cheeked gibbon). The record is from Rfam by way of RNAcentral. Lineage: Eukaryota; Metazoa; Chordata; Mammalia; Primates; Hylobatidae.